UACAGAGGGGGCAAGCGUUGUUCGGAAUUACUGGGCGUAAAGGGCGCGUAGGCGGCCUUCUAAGUCGAACGUGAAAUCCCCGGGCUCAACCCGGGAACUGCGUCCGAUACUGGAAGGCUUGAAUCCGGGAGAGGGAUGCGGAAUUCCAGGUGUAGCGGUGAAAUGCGUAGAUAUCUGGAGGAACACCGGUGGCGAAGGCGGCAUCCUGGACCAACACUGACGCUGAGUGAGCGAAAGCCGGGGGAGCAAACGGG
RNAcentral lists this ribosomal RNA (254 nucleotides) under uncultured bacterium. Its description in RNAcentral is "partial 16S ribosomal RNA". It matches the Rfam family "Bacterial small subunit ribosomal RNA", at positions 524 to 776 of the family's 1533-position model. The record is from RNAcentral.